CCUACGGGAGGCAGCAGUGAGGAAUAUUGGUCAAUGGCCGUAAGGCUGAACCAGCCAAGUCGCGUGAAGGACGAAGGUUCUAUGGUUCGUAAACUUCUUUUAUAAGGGAAUAAAGUGAGGCACGUGUGCAGUUUUGUAUGUACCUUAUGAAUAAGCAUCGGCUAACUCCGUGCCAGCAGCCGCGGUAAUACGGAGGAUGCGAGCGUUAUCCGGAUUUAUUGGGUUUAAAGGGUGCGUAGGCGGCCUGUUAAGUCAGCGGUAAAAGCCCGGGGCUCAACCCCGGCGAGCCGUUGAAACUGGGGGGCUUGAGUUGUCGUGAGGUAGGCGGAAUGCGCAGUGUAGCGGUGAAAUGCUUAGAUAUCGCGCAGAACCCCGAUUGCGAAGGCAGCGUACCGGCGCCAAACUGACGCUGAGGCACGAAAGCGUGGGUAUCGAACAGGAUUAGAUACCCGUGUAGUC
RNAcentral lists this ribosomal RNA (459 nucleotides) under uncultured bacterium. Its description in RNAcentral is "partial 16S ribosomal RNA". It matches the Rfam family "Bacterial small subunit ribosomal RNA", at positions 338 to 795 of the family's 1533-position model. The record is from RNAcentral.